CCCUUAGAGUUUGAUCCUGGCUCAGAACGAACGCUGGCGGCAUGCCUAACACAUGCAAGUCGAACGAAGGCCCUAGCUUGCUAGGUGUCCUUAGUGGCGAACGGGUGAGUAACGCGUGGGAAUCUGCCAUAGAGUGGGGAACAACUUUUGGAAACGAAAGCUAAUACCGCAUACGCCCUCCGGGGGAAAGGCUUCGGCCGCUCUUUGAUGAUCCCGCGUCUGAUUAGCUUGUUGGUAGGGUAACGGCUUACCAAGGCGACGAUCAGUAGCUGGUCUGAGAGGAUGAUCAGCCACACUGGGACUGAGACACAGCCCAGACUCCUACGGGAGGCAGCAGUGGGGAAUAUUGGACAAUGGGGGAAACCCUGAUCCAGCAAUGCCGCGUGAGUGAAGAAGGCCUUAGGGUUGUAAAACUCUUUCGCCGGUGAAGAUGAUGACUGUAGCCGGUAAAGAAGCCCCGGCUAACUCCGUGCCAGCAGCCGCGGUAAUACGGAGGGGGCUAGCGUUGUUCGGAUUUACUGGGCGUAAAGCGCACGUAGGCGGCAUAUUAAGUUAGAGGUGAAAGGCCUGGGCUCAACCUAGGAACUGCCUUUAAUACUGGUAUGCUUGAGUUCGGAAGAGGGUAGUGGAAUUCCAAGUGUAGAGGUGAAAUUCGUAGAGAUGUGGAGGAAUACCAAUGGCGAAGGCAGCCCCCUGGGAUAAUAUUGACGCUCAUGCACGAAGCGUGGGGAGCGAACAGGAUUAGAUACCCUGGUAGUCCACGCCCUA
RNAcentral lists this ribosomal RNA (768 nucleotides) under uncultured bacterium. Its description in RNAcentral is "bacterial SSU rRNA". It matches the Rfam family "Bacterial small subunit ribosomal RNA", at positions 1 to 804 of the family's 1533-position model. The record is from RNAcentral.